UACGUAGGGAGCAAGCGUUGUCCGGAAUCAUUGGGCGUAAAGAGCACGCAGGCGGCUUGGCAAGUCGGGUGUGAAAUCCCGGGGCUCAACCCCGUGACUGCAUCCGAUACUGUCAGGCUAGAGGUAGGUAGGGGAGAUCGGAAUUCCUGGUGUAGCGGUGAAAUGCGCAGAUAUCAGGAGGAACACCGGUGGCGAAGGCGGGUCUCUGGGCCGAUACUGACGCUGAGGAGCGAAAGCGUGGGGAGCGAACAGG
RNAcentral lists this ribosomal RNA (253 nucleotides) under uncultured bacterium. RNAcentral's name for it is "partial 16S ribosomal RNA". It matches the Rfam family "Bacterial small subunit ribosomal RNA", at positions 524 to 776 of the family's 1533-position model. The record is from RNAcentral.